CCCCAUGUCCCCAUGUCCCCAUGUCCCAGUAUCCCCACAUCUCCUUGCCCCAGUGUCCCCAUACCCCAUAACUCCACAGCCCCACGUCCCCAUGUUCUGGUGUCCCCACGGUGUCCCCAUAACUGCCCCCCCCCGCAGGACCUUUGCUCCGACUGCCAGGACCUGGUGGCGCUUCUCCUCCGCAUGGCCAACGCAUCAGCAGCCGAGAAGCCCUCUGCCAUCUGUGCCCACCUGGAGCUGUGCCCAGGGCAGCCCGGAGGGGUCCCGGCUGCGUCCCCCCACAUCGGUGCCCUCCUGAAGGACGCGGCGCUGCCGGUGCCGCUGCCGCUGUGCUGGCUGUGCCGGACCUUCCUGGCCCGUGCCGAGGCUGCUGUCCCCAAGGAGGCGGUGGCGAAGGCGGUGUCCCAGCUGUGCCGGGCGCUGCCGCUGGUGGCCGCGGGCGC
This 443-nucleotide long non-coding RNA is filed under the name Chrysolophus pictus (golden pheasant). RNAcentral describes it as "lncRNA (ENSCPIG00010004967.1)". Lineage: Eukaryota; Metazoa; Chordata; Aves; Galliformes; Phasianidae. The record is from RNAcentral.